UACGUAGGGGGCAAGCGUUGUCCGGAAUCAUUGGGCGUAAAGCGCGCGUAGGCGGCCCGGUAAGUCCGCUGUAAAAGUCCAGGGCUCAACCCUGGAAUGCCGGUGGAUACUGUCGGGCUAGAGUCCGGAAGAGGCGAGUGGAAUUCCUGGUGUAGCGGUGGAAUGCGCAGAUAUCAGGAGGAACACCGAUGGCGAAGGCAGCUCGCUGGGACGGUACUGACGCUAAGGCGCGAAAGCGUGGGGAGCGAACAGG
RNAcentral lists this ribosomal RNA (253 nucleotides) under uncultured bacterium. RNAcentral's name for it is "partial 16S ribosomal RNA". It matches the Rfam family "Bacterial small subunit ribosomal RNA", at positions 524 to 776 of the family's 1533-position model. The record is from RNAcentral.